GCUCAGGAUGAACGCUGGCGGCGUGCUUAACACAUGCAAGUCGAACGAAGAUACUUAAAAUGAGAGCUUCGGCAGGAAUUUUAUUUAUCUUAGUGGCGGACGGGUGAGUAACGUGUGGGCAACCUGCCCUAUACUGGGGAAUAAUCACUGGAAACGGUGACUAAUACCGCAUGUCAUUACGGAAGGGCAUCCUUCUGUAAGAAAAGGAGUAAUUCGGUAUAGGAUGGGCCCGCAUCUGAUUAGCUAGUUGGUGAGAUAACAGCCCACCAAGGCGACGAUCAGUAGCCGACCUGAGAGGGUGAUCGGCCACAUUGGGACUGAGACACGGCCCAAACUCCUACGGGAGGCAGCAGU
Molecule: ribosomal RNA, 354 nt
Filed under: uncultured bacterium
Lineage: Bacteria
Description: bacterial SSU rRNA
Rfam family: Bacterial small subunit ribosomal RNA
Source: RNAcentral